This 795-nucleotide ribosomal RNA is filed under the name uncultured Pelagibacteraceae bacterium. RNAcentral describes it as "bacterial SSU rRNA". It matches the Rfam family "Bacterial small subunit ribosomal RNA", at positions 46 to 889 of the family's 1533-position model. Lineage: Bacteria; Pseudomonadati; Pseudomonadota; Alphaproteobacteria; Candidatus Pelagibacterales; Candidatus Pelagibacteraceae. The record is from RNAcentral.
GCCUAACACAUGCAAGUCGAACGAAGUAGCAAUACUUAGUGGCAGACGGGUGAGUAACAUGUAGGUAUCUACCCUUUGGCCUGGAAUAACACGAGGAAACUUGUGCUAAUACCGGAUAAGUCUUUACGGAGAAAGCUUUAUGCACCAUUGGAUGAGCCUGCACUUGAUUAGUUUGUUGGUGGGGUAAUGGCCUACCAAGACUGUGAUCAAUAGCUGAUUUGAGAGGAUGAUCAGCCACAUUGGGACUGAGACACGGCCCAAACUCCUACGGGAGGCAGCAGUGGGGAAUCUUGCACAAUGGAGGAAACUCUGAUGCAGCGAUGCCGCGUGAGUGAAGAAGGCCCUUGGGUUGUAAAGCUCUUUCGUCGGGGAAGAAAAUGACUGUACCCGAAUAAGAAGGUCCGGCUAACUUCGUGCCAGCAGCCGCGGUAAUACGAAGGGACCUAGCGUAGUUCGGAAUUACUGGGCUUAAAGAGUUCGUAGGUGGUUGAAAAAGUUGGUGGUGAAAUCCCAGAGCUUAACUCUGGAACUGCCAUCAAAACUUUUCAGCUAGAGUAUGAUAGAGGAAAGCAGAAUUUCUAGUGUAGAGGUGAAAUUCGUAGAUAUUAGAAAGAAUACCAAUUGCGAAGGCAGCUUUCUGGAUCAUUACUGACACUGAGGAACGAAAGCAUGGGUAGCGAAGAGGAUUAGAUACCCUCGUAGUCCAUGCCGUAAACGAUGUGUGUUAGACGUUGGAAAUUUAUUUUCAGUGUCGCAGCGAAAGCGAUAAACACACCGCCUGGGGAGUACGACCGC